RNAcentral lists this transfer RNA (73 nucleotides) under Stegodyphus mimosarum. It matches the Rfam family "tRNA". From Rfam's summary of the family: Transfer RNA (tRNA) molecules are approximately 80 nucleotides in length. Their secondary structure includes four short double-helical elements and three loops (D, anti-codon, and T loops). Lineage: Eukaryota; Metazoa; Arthropoda; Arachnida; Araneae; Eresidae. The record is from Rfam by way of RNAcentral.
GAUUUCGUGGUGCAGUGGUCAGCACGGUUGACUCGUAUUCGAGAGGUCCGUGGUUCGAGUCCCGGCUAGGGCA